Molecule: long non-coding RNA, 434 nt
Filed under: Nicotiana benthamiana
Lineage: Eukaryota; Viridiplantae; Streptophyta; Magnoliopsida; Solanales; Solanaceae
Description: long non-coding RNA (NBEN_LNC002250)
Source: RNAcentral
CGACAUAAACCGAAUCGAGAAAAAACUGACUUAACUGGUUUGAUUUAAUUCUAAUAUUUAAAAAAUCGAUCUACUUGAUUUGGUUUCUUUUUAGGAAAAAAUCGAUCCAAAUCGAACCCUAAGCACCUUUGGUCAUCGGUAUGCAGAAGAUAGUAAAAAUCGAUAAUCAAGCCGGUAUUUAUAAAUAUUGCACUCCAAUAUUUCCAUACACCCAUAGGACUAAAUCAAAAACAAAGAGUAAAAGUUAUUUUCGUCCUUUUGCCGCUGAAAUAAAGCCUGUGCCAGGAGAGAGCCUACACAUCUUGCUGCGCACGAAAAUGAGGUACUGCCAGUCUGCCACUGCCACUGCCACUGUUGUCUUUUGGUAUCUUUUUAUCAGCAGAUUAUGAUUUACCUAGAGAUAAGGAACUGCAUGCACCUUCAAGUAAAUUAUU